GGGUGUGUAGCUCAGCAGUAGAGAGCCUGUUUGGCAUACACAGGUCCUGGGUUCCAUCCCGAGCACGCCCC
RNAcentral lists this transfer RNA (71 nucleotides) under Cavia porcellus (domestic guinea pig). It matches the Rfam family "tRNA". Rfam says of the family: Transfer RNA (tRNA) molecules are approximately 80 nucleotides in length. Their secondary structure includes four short double-helical elements and three loops (D, anti-codon, and T loops). Lineage: Eukaryota; Metazoa; Chordata; Mammalia; Rodentia; Caviidae. The record is from Rfam by way of RNAcentral.